CAGCCGCCACGGUAAUGCGGAGGGUGCAAGCGUUAAUCGGAAUUACUGGGCGUAAAGCGUGCGUAGGCGGUUCGUUAAGUCUGUUGUGAAAGCCCCGGGCUCAACCUGGGAAUGGCAAUGGAUACUGGCGAGCUAGAGUGUGUCAGAGGAUGGUGGAAUUCCCGGUGUAGCGGUGAAAUGCGUAGAGAUCGGGAGGAACAUCAGUGGCGAAGGCGGCCAUCUGGGACAACACUGACGCUGAGGCACGAAAGCGUGGGGAGCAAACAGGAUUAGAUACCCGGGUAGUCCCUGUCUCUUAUAC
RNAcentral lists this ribosomal RNA (301 nucleotides) under uncultured bacterium. Its description in RNAcentral is "partial 16S ribosomal RNA". It matches the Rfam family "Bacterial small subunit ribosomal RNA", at positions 509 to 807 of the family's 1533-position model. The record is from RNAcentral.